RNAcentral lists this ribosomal RNA (465 nucleotides) under Vreelandella stevensii. RNAcentral describes it as "partial 16S ribosomal RNA". It matches the Rfam family "Bacterial small subunit ribosomal RNA", at positions 338 to 795 of the family's 1533-position model. The record is from RNAcentral. Lineage: Bacteria; Pseudomonadati; Pseudomonadota; Gammaproteobacteria; Oceanospirillales; Halomonadaceae.
CCUACGGGAGGCAGCAGUGGGGAAUAUUGGACAAUGGGGGGAACCCUGAUCCAGCCAUGCCGCGUGUGUGAAGAAGGCCCUCGGGUUGUAAAGCACUUUCAGUGAGGAAGAACGCCUGGUGGUUAAUACCCAUCAGGAAAGACAUCACUCACAGAAGAAGCACCGGCUAACUCCGUGCCAGCAGCCGCGGUAAUACGGAGGGUGCGAGCGUUAAUCGGAAUUACUGGGCGUAAAGCGCGCGUAGGUGGCUUGAUAAGCUGGUUGUGAAAGCCCCGGGCUCAACCUGGGAACGGCAUCCGGAACUGUCAAGCUAGAGUGCAGGAGAGGAAGGUAGAAUUCCCGGUGUAGCGGUGAAAUGCGUAGAGAUCGGGAGGAAUACCAGUGGCGAAGGCGGCCUUCUGGACUGACACUGACACUGAGGUGCGAAAGCGUGGGUAGCAAACAGGAUUAGAUACCCCAGUAGUC